UCCCAGAAAGAGUCUCCUAUAAUUGGUAAA
RNAcentral lists this non-coding RNA (30 nucleotides) under Rattus norvegicus (Norway rat). The record is from RNAcentral. Lineage: Eukaryota; Metazoa; Chordata; Mammalia; Rodentia; Muridae.